Molecule: ribosomal RNA, 745 nt
Filed under: uncultured bacterium
Lineage: Bacteria
Description: bacterial SSU rRNA
Rfam family: Bacterial small subunit ribosomal RNA
Source: RNAcentral
CGAUUAAAGCCCCUUCGGGGGUGUAUAAAGUGGCGAAAGGGCGAGGAAUACGUUCCUACGUACCCCAAGGUCGAGGAUAGCCCAGGGAAACCUGGAGUAAUACUCGAUGUGGUCUACGGAUCAAAGGCUUCGGUCGCCUUGGGAGCGGGGAACGUCCUAUCAGGUUGUUGGUGAGGUAACGGCUCACCAAGCCGAAGACGGGUAGCGGGUGUGAGAGCAUGACCCGCCGCAUCGGGACUGAGACACUGCCCGGACUCCUACGGGAGGCUGCAGCAACGAAUCUUCCGCAAUGCGCGAAAGCGUGACGGAGCAAUGCCGCGUGCAGGAUGAAGCCUUUCGGGGUGUAAACUGCUGUCAGGGUUUAGCAACACAAUGAGCAGACCCAAAGGAAGGGCCGGCUAACUUCGUGCCAGCAGCCGCGGUAAUACGAAGGGCCCGAGCGUUGCGCGGAAUUACUGGGCUUAAAGCGUACGUAGGCGGACAAGAAGGCACCUUGUGUAAUCCCUCGGCUCAACCGAGGAACUGCUUGGUGAACCGCUUGUCUUGAGGCAAGUAGGGGCUGUCGGAACGAUAGGUGGAGCGGUGAAAUGCGUUGAUAUCUAUCGGAACGCCAAAGGCGAAGGCAGGCAGCUGGGCUUGUUCUGACGCUCAUGUACGAAAGCGUGGGGAGCGAACGGGAUUAGAUACCCCGGUAGUCCACGCCGUAAACGAUGUGCACUAGAUCGAGGGGGUUCUGACGCCAUUC